Cebus imitator (Panamanian white-faced capuchin) is the source of this 1155-nucleotide long non-coding RNA. RefSeq lists it as uncharacterized. Lineage: Eukaryota; Metazoa; Chordata; Mammalia; Primates; Cebidae. The transcript is spliced from 4 exons. The record is from RefSeq and is a predicted model, not a curated record.
GUGGAGCGGGGCGUGAGAGUAGUGGGUAGGCGGCCGCGGGGGAUGGCCUGAAGAAAAACUGCGAGUGAGUCGCCCCGCGGGGUAGAGGUACCUGGACCCAGGCGCCUCGUCUGGGAAGAACGAGGUUAGAAAGAACGAGUUAGAGGGAAGAAAAUAGCGCCCUCUUAUGACGGAGGGAGAUCUGAGUUGAGGGGAGAAGGCUGAGGUGCACCGAAGUGGCGGAGGCGACGGCGCUGAGGUCAGCCUGAGCUGAGAGGGCAGGCAGAUCAACCCUCAACCGAAGUGAACGAACUCGAGUGAGCUCUUCUCUUCUUCAGGAAAUUACUCCAGGAUUUGAAUCGUCACAAGAGAUUCACCAGAGGAUUUUAUACACUUGGGCUGUGGCAGCAGAUUAUACCACAACACCAGGCUAAAGAAGAAAAAUCACGUGAUCAUAUCAAUAGAUGCAGAAAAAACUUCUGACAAAAACCAGCUCUUAUUUACUGUCAGAACUCUCAGCAAACUACUAAUAGAAGGGAACUUACUCAACUUGAUAAAGAACAUGUGCAAACAUCUUUCAGCUAACAUGGUACUUAAUGAUGAGUGUACACCUGUACCACAAGCUACUCCUCCUUCCUGGCUGAGAGGACCUCAAGGUGUACUGCUAAAACUUCUGCCCUCUGGGAGUUUCUUCACCGUUUCCCUUCAGCAGCAUCUUUGAGUGAGUAUACUGGUACUAGUGUCAUGUGGACACCCUUCUGUAAACCAGGCCCAAGUUGGUUUAAAUUUUUUUUUAAUUUUUCAUUUAGAAAAUUUUAAAUUGACACAUAAUAAUUGUUCAUAUUUAUGAGGUACAUAGCUAUGUUGUGAUACAUACAAUGGAUAGUGAUCAAAUCAGGGUAAUUAGCAUAUCCAUCACCUCAAACAUUUAUCAUUUCUUUGUGUUGGGAACAUUCAAUAUCCUUUUUCUAGCUAUUUGAAACUAUAAGAUACUGUUAAUUAUAGUUAUUCCAUAGUAGUAUAGAACACUGUAACUUAUUUCUCCUAUCCAUUUGUAUCCUUUAACAAAUCUCUAUUUCCCUCUUCCCCCUACUCUUCUCAGCCUUUAGUAUCCUUUAUUCUACUUUUUACUUCUAUGAGAUCAGCUUUUUUUAGCUUCCACAUAUGAGUGAGAAC